ACACACACACACACACACACAGCUGUUAGAGCAACACUUCUAACAUUCAUCCUUACAUAGAGGAUCCCUCUUACCAUUACAAUGAAACAAUGCAUAAGAAGAGACAGAGAGACAGAGACAGAGAGACAGAGGGAGAGAGAAAGAGAGAGAGAAAGAGAGGGAGAGAGAUAGAAAGAGAGAGAGAGACAGACAGACAGAGAGACAGAGAGAGAGACACAGAGACAGAGAGAGAGAGAGAGAGAGAGAAAGUGACAGAGGGAGAGAGAAAGAGAGGGAGAGAGAUAGAAAGUGAAAGAGAGACAGAGACAGAGAGAAAGAGAGGGAGAGAGAUAGAAAGAGAGAGAGAAAGACAGAGACAGAGAGAAAGAGAGGGAGAGAGAUAGAGAGAGAUUAAGGGAGCUAUAUAGCCAUGGUCACAUUCUCCUGGCUAAUGUCAGGGAAAGACCACAGGGAUCUGAAGUGGUCAUCAAUCUAUGGUCCAUCUAUGAUCAAUCUAUGGUCAGAUACACUGUAAGUGAUGAAGUCAGAGAGUCCCAUUGAAAUGAAUUGCUAUGGAUAUGAUCACAACUAUAGGCUUGGCGUGGACAACCAAAAACUUUCCUUGAGUUCCCCUUCAAUGACCAUGACAAUUCCCUACUACAUUAAACAUUGGUCAUGUCCCAAAUGGCACCCUAUUCACUAUAUAGUGAACUACUUUUGACCAGAAUCCUAUUUUGGGACACAUCCACAGGGUUUGCAAUGUCACUCAGGGUGCUCUUGGAGAGAGAGACAGGAUAUCUGAAUCCCAAGACAGAGAUCUGUCCUCUCUCUGCCAUCCCAGCUGUCCAUCUGUCCGGCUGUCCGUCCUCAGCCUGUGACAUCAGUGUUAUGUGAAAACCCAGCCCACCACAUCCUCUCCAGGACAAUGGGGAAUAAUCAGCCAUGAUCUGUGUCAUCGGGUUACAGCACGGAAAUCAACACACAAUAUGUGUACUGUACACACAAACACACACAUUUCUAUCCACGCACACAUCCCUCACAUACUCAUACACACACACACACGCACACACGCACACACACACACACACACACACCUUGAUCUCCUAAGACUCCUACCUGUGUCCGUCAUUACUGAGAGGGGGAGACGUGUGUCUCACUGUACAGACGGACAUAAAUGAAUGACCUGUUGACACGGCUCCCUACCAUAACAGUGACUGUGUCUCAAAUGUUAUCCUAUUUCCUAUUUAGUCUACUACUUUACAUGACCGCAUAGGGCUCUGGUCAAGAGUAGUGCACUAUAUAUGGAAUAGGGUGCCAUUUGGGAAUUGGGACACAGCCGGUGUCAUUUGGGAGCUAGUGACAGCUUAUCUGUUAAACCAGUGACCUACCCCGCUCUCGCUCAUGUUCAUUCACAAGCACAAAACAGUAACAUAUACACAAACUCUAUAGUAGAGAAAUAUGAAUUUAUCAUUGCAUGUAUUUUUCUGAUGUGAGGGAGGAUUGAUUAACAGCUUGGAUUCCAGUAGAGGAAGUAUGUUACACCACAAACUGACAAAUAGCUAUAUCAAGAAGCUGGAUCCUCCGUUGCUUGCAACCACAGCCCACUGUGGUGGAAUUUCAUUAAUGGUUUGAUAACCAAACUGACAAAAAAUGUACCACCAGUCGCAAUCAUCUUGCCAGGUGCCAGAAAAUGACAUUAUAUAUUUGUGAGGAAAUGCCCAAGUCAAAUAAUUCCAUGAAAAACAUACAGCAGUUCGAUUUGUCAUGUAACAUUCCUUUACACUUCUUCAAACUUGAUAUAUGAUGCUUUACCAUCACAUUGUGUCUUGUAUGUACGUAAAAUGCAAUCAGGAAAAGGAACUUCGGGAGAUUAUUAUUUUUGCGUACCUAAAAAAAGAAUAAUUAUGAAACCACUGCACUACAGAUGAAGGAUCUUAAUUUGAUUACUCUUUUGUUUAUGAGAAUUUUCCUGCACAGAAGGAAAUGCAAACUUGUAAUGAAUUCAACUUUUUAAAAAGGCUUCUAAAGUUUGUAAUUACCACCCUAACUUCAAAUGUAUUAACGCCUACAAAAAAACGUCCAUUCGUUAUGAUCAACAUAAUAAUUAACAUUUCUUGUUGAUGAAGGAUUAUUUUCCUGCUGUAGCAAACUAGCUCAAAUGAAGAUCCUACAAGUGUAGGUCUUCAGAUCAACGUUGUAAACAGUUCCCAUGUGUUUCUGUACCAGUGGUCAGAUGUGUGGCUUCCCAAUGACACUAUGUGUGGGUAACCAAUGGCAUCCUAUUCUUUAUAUAAUGCACUACUUCGAGCUGAGUCAUAUGAGCCCUGGUCAAAAGUAGUGCAAUAUGUAGGGAUAAGGGUGCCAUUUGGGACGCAUAUGGCAUGACAGCGCAGGCAGUCUUGGUGUGAACAAGGCACUGGCUAUGUUGUUAUGGGAAAAAAGAACUAGGCAGACACAUUGGCUCUGAUGACUUCUGAGAUAUGUCUCUUCAUUUAGCCUCAUACACAAGGCAAUGAAUGAACCGCCACUAAUCAAUGUUACACAGGUUGUUGUGUGCUGUUGGCUAAAUGAUGACAUGACCUUUCUUGAUGAGAUCCAUACAAACACCGGGUUGACCGCUAGAGAGAAGAGUGUGUUCUGUAAAUGGUGAAUGACCUCAAACACAGCUGCUAUGUGUGUGAGGGGAGUGUGACAGUUAGACUCUGUUUUAAAAGUGGUAUGAGGAGGACAGUGUGACAGUUAGACUCUGUUUUAAAAGUGGUAUGAGGAGGACAGCGUGACAGUUGGACUCUGUUUUAAAAGUGGUAUGAGGAGGACAGUGUGACAGUUGGACUCUGUUUUAAAAGUGGUAUGAGGAGGACAGCGUGACAGCUGGACUCUGUUUUAAAAAAGUGGUAUGAGGAGGACAGCGUGACAGUUAGACUCUGUUUUAAAAGUGGUAUGAGGAGGACAGUGUGACAGUUAGACUCUGUUUUAAAAGUGGUAUGAGGAGGACAGCGUGACAGCUGGACUCUGUUAUAAAAAAGUGGUAUGAGGAGGACAGUUAGACUCUGUUUUAAAAAAGUGGUAUGAGGAGGACAGCGUGACAGUUGGACUCUGUUUUAAAAAAGUGGUAUGAGGAGGACAGUGUGACAGUUAGACUCUGUUUUAAAAGCGGUAUGAGGAGGACAGCGUGACAGUUAGACUCUGUUUUAAAAAAGUGGUAUGAGGAGGACAGCGUGACAGCUGGACUCUGUUAUAAAAAAGUGGUAUGAGGAGGACAGUUAGACUCUGUUUUAAAAAAGUGGUAUGAGGAGGACAGCGUGACAGUUGGACUCUGUUAUAAAAAAGUGGUAUGAGGAGGACAGUGUGACAGUUAGACUCUGUUUUAAAAGCGGUAUGAGGAGGACAGCGUGACAGUUAGACUCUGUUUUAAAAAAGUGGUAUGAGGAGGACAGCGUGACAGUUGGACUCUGUUUUAAAAGUGGUAUGAGGAGGACAGUGUGACAGCUGGACUCUGUUUUAAAAAAGUGGUAUGAGGAGGACAGCGUGACAGUUGGACUCUGUUUUAAAAGUGGUAUGAGGAGGACAGCGUGACAGUUGGACUCUGUUUUAAAAGUGGUAUGAGGAGGACAGCGUGACAGCUGGACUCUGUUAUAAAAAAGUGGUAUGAGGAGGACAGCGUGACAGUUGGACUCUGUUUUAAAAGUGGUAUGAGGAGGACAGCGUGACAGCUGGACUCUGUUUUAAAAGUGGUAUGAGGAGGACAGCGUGACAGUUGGACUCUGUUUUAAAAAAGUGGUAUGAGGAGGACAGCGUGACAGUUGGACUCUGUUUUAAAAGUGGUAUGAGGAGGACAGUCUGACAGCUGGACUCUGUUUUAAAAGUGGUAUGAGGAGGACAGUGUGACAGCUGGACUCUGUUAUAAAAAAGUGGUAUGAGGAGGACAGCGUGACAGUUAGACUCUGUUUUAAAAGUGGUAUGAGGAGGACAGCGUGACAGUUAGACUCUGUUUUAAAAGUGGUAUGUGGAGGACAGUGUGACAGUUAGACUCUGUUUUAAAAGUGGUAUGAGGAGGACAGUGUGACAGUUAGACUCUGUUUUAAAAGUGGUAUGAGGAGGACAGCGUGACAGCUGGACUCUGUUAUAAAAAAGUGGUAUGAGGAGGACAGUGUGACAGCUGGACUCUGUUUUAAAAGUGGUAUGAGGAGGACAGCGUGACAGUUGGACUCUGUUUUAAAAAAGUUGUAUGAGGAGGACAGCGUGACAGUUGGACUCUGUUUUAAAAGUGGUAUGAGGAGGACAGCGUGACAGUUGGACUCUGUUUUAAAAGUGGUAAGAGGAGGACAGCGUGACAGUUGGACUCUGUUUUAAAAGUGGUAUGAGGAGGACAGUGUGACAGCUGGACUCUGUUAUAAAAAAGUGGUAUGAGGAGGACAGCGUGACAGUUAGACUCUGUUUUAAAAGUGGUAUGAGGAGGACAGCGUGACAGUUAGACUGUUUUAAAAGUGGUAUGUGGAGGACAGUGUGACAGUUAGACUCUGUUUUAAAAGUGUGGUAUGAGGAGGACAGCGUGACAGUUAGACUCUGUUUUAAAAGUGGUAUGAGGAGGACAGCGUGACAGUUAGACUGUUUUAAAAGUGGUAUGUGGAGGACAGUGUGACAGUUAGACUCUGUUUUAAAAGUGGUAUGAGAAGGACAGUGUGACAGUUAGACUCUGUUUUAAAAGUGGUAUGAGGAGGACAGCGUGACAGCUGGACUCUGUUAUAAAAAAGUGGUAUGAGGAGGACAGUUAGACUCUGUUUUAAAAAAGUGGUAUGAGGAGGACAGCGUGACAGUUGGACUCUGUUUUAAAAGUGGUAUGAGGAGGACAGUGUGACAGUUGGACUCUGUUAUAAAAAAGUGGUAUGAGGAGGACAGCUUGACAGUUGGACUCUGUUUUAAAAGUGGUAUGAGGAGGACAGCGUGACAGCUGGACUCUGUUAUAAAAAAGUGGUAUGAGGAGGACAGCGUGACAGUUGGACUCUGUUUUAAAAGUGGUAUGAGGAGGACAGUGUGACAGCUGGACUCUGUUUUAAAAGUGGUAUGAGGAGGACAGCGUGACAGUUGGACUCUGUUUUAAAAAAGUGGUAUGAGGAGGACAGCGUGACAGUUGGACUCUGUUUUAAAAGUGGUAUGAGGAGGACAGCCUGACAGCUGGACUCUGUUUUAAAAAGUGGUAUGAGGAGGACAGCGUGACAGUUAGACUCUGUUUUAAAAAAGUGGUAUGAGGAGGACAGCGUGACAGUUAGACUCUGUUUUAAAAGUGGUAUGAGGAGGACAGCGUGACAGUUAGACUCUGUUUUAAAAGUGGUAUGUGGAGGACAGUGUGACAGUUAGACUCUGUUUUAAAAGUGGUAUGAGAAGGACAGUGUGACAGUUAGACUCUGUUUUAAAAGUGGUAUGAGGAGGACAGCGUGACAGCUGGACUCUGUUAUAAAAAAGUGGUAUGAGGAGGACAGUUAGACUCUGUUUUAAAAAAGUGGUAUGAGGAGGACAGCGUGACAGUUGGACUCUGUUUUAAAAAUGGUAUGUGGAGGACAGUGUGACAGUUAGACUCUGUUUUAAAAGUGGUAUGAGGAGGACAGUGUGACAGUUAGACUCUGUUUUAAAAGUGGUAUGAGGAGGACAGCGUGACAGCUGGACUCUGUUAUAAAAAAGUGGUAUGAGGAGGACAGUUAGACUCUGUUUUAAAAAAGUGGUAUGAGGAGGACAGCGUGACAGUUGGACUCUGUUUUAAAAGUGGUAUGAGGAGGACAGUGUGACAGUUGGACUCUGUUAUAAAAAAGUGGUAUGAGGAGGACAGCUUGACAGUUGGACUCUGUUUUAAAAGUGGUAUGAGGAGGACAGCGUGACAGCUGGACUCUGUUAUAAAAAAGUGGUAUGAGGAGGACAGCGUGACAGUUGGACUCUGUUUUAAAAGUGGAAUGAGGAGGACAGCGUGAGAGUUGGACUCUGUUAUAAAAGUGGUAUGGGGAGGACAGCGUGACAGUUAGACUCUGUUUUAAAAGUGGUAUGAGGAGGACAGUGUGACAGUUAGACUCUGUUUUAAAAGCGGUAUGAGGAGGACAGCGUGACAGUUAGACUCUGUUUUAAAAAAGUGGUAUGAGGAGGACAGCGUGACAGUUGGACUCUGUUUUAAAAGUGGUAUGAGGAGGGCAGCGUGACAGCUGGACUCUGUUUUAAAAGUGGUAUGAGGAGGACAGCGUGACAGUUGGACUCUGUUUUAAAAGUGGUAUGAGGAGGACAGUGUGACAGUUGGACUCUGUUUUAAAAGUGGUAUGUGGAGGACAGCGUGACAGUUAGACUCUGUUUUAAAAGUGGUAUGAGGAGGACAGUGUGACAGUUAGACUCUGUUUUAAAAGUGGUAUGAGGAGGACAGUGUGACAGCUGGACUCUGUUUUAAAAGUGGUAUGAGGAGGACAGCGUGACAGCUGGACUCUGUUUUAAAAAUGGUAUGAGGAGGACAGCGUGACAGUUGGACUCUGUUUUAAAAAAGUUGUAUGAGGAGGACAGCGUGACAGUUGGACUCUGUUUUAAAAAAGUGGUAUGAGGAGGACAGCGUGACAGUUGGACUCUGUUUUAAAAGUGGUAUGAGGAGGACAGCGUGACAGCUGGACUCUGUUUUAAAAGUGGUAUGAGGAGGACAGCGUGACAGUUGGACUCUGUUUUAAAAGUGGUAUGAGGAGGACAGCGUGACAGUUGGACUCUGUUUUAAAAGUGGUAUGAGGAGGACAGCGUGACAGCUGGACUCUGUUUUAAAAAAGUGGUAUGAGGAGGACAGCGUGACAGUUAGACUCUGUUUUAAAAG
RNAcentral lists this long non-coding RNA (6808 nucleotides) under Salmo salar (Atlantic salmon). Its description in RNAcentral is "lncRNA (ENSSSAG00000119582.1)". The record is from RNAcentral. Lineage: Eukaryota; Metazoa; Chordata; Actinopteri; Salmoniformes; Salmonidae.